UGGGGAAUAUUGCACAAUGGGCGCAAGCCUGAUGCAGCCAUGCCGCGUGUAUGAAGAAGGCCUUCGGGUUGUAAAGUACUUUCAGCGAGGAGGAAGGCGUUGUGGUUAAUAACCGCAACGAUUGACGUUACUCGCAGAAGAAGCACCGGCUAACUCCGUGCCAGCAGCCGCGGUAAUACGGAGGGUGCAAGCGUUAAUCGGAAUUACUGGGCGUAAAGCGCACGCAGGCGGUCUGUCAAGUCGGAUGUGAAAUCCCCGGGCUCAACCUGGGAACUGCAUCCGAAACUGGCAGGCUAGAGUCUUGUAGAGGGGGGUAGAAUUCCAGGUGUAGCGGUGAAAUGCGUAGAGAUCUGGAGGAAUACCGGUGGCGAAGGCGGCCC
This 380-nucleotide ribosomal RNA is filed under the name uncultured bacterium. RNAcentral's name for it is "partial 16S ribosomal RNA". It matches the Rfam family "Bacterial small subunit ribosomal RNA", at positions 355 to 727 of the family's 1533-position model. The record is from RNAcentral.